This 253-nucleotide ribosomal RNA is filed under the name uncultured bacterium. RNAcentral describes it as "partial 16S ribosomal RNA". It matches the Rfam family "Bacterial small subunit ribosomal RNA", at positions 524 to 776 of the family's 1533-position model. The record is from RNAcentral.
UACGGGGGGUGCAAGCGUUAUUCGGAAUCAUUGGGCGUAAAGGGCGCGUAGGCGGCUUGGUAAGUCAGAUGUGAAAGUCCGGGGCUUAACCCCGGAAGUGCAUUUGAAACUAUUAGGCUUGAGUAUGGGAGAGGGAAGUGGAAUUCCUGGUGUAGAGGUGAAAUUCGUAGAUAUCAGGAGGAACACCGGUGGCGAAGGCGACUUCCUGGACCAAUACUGACGCUAAGGCGCGAAGGCGUGGGGAGCAAACAGG